This 767-nucleotide ribosomal RNA is filed under the name uncultured Streptococcus sp. Its description in RNAcentral is "bacterial SSU rRNA". It matches the Rfam family "Bacterial small subunit ribosomal RNA", at positions 29 to 776 of the family's 1533-position model. Lineage: Bacteria; Bacillati; Bacillota; Bacilli; Lactobacillales; Streptococcaceae. The record is from RNAcentral.
GCGAACGCGGGCGGCGUCCUUACUACAUGCAAGUAGAACGCUGAGGGAGGAGCUUGCUUUUCUUGGUUGAGUUGCGAACGGGUGAGUAACGCGUAGGUACCCCUCCCCUGGUAGCGGGGGAUAACUAUUGGAAACGAUAGCUAAUACCCGCAUAAGAGUAGAUGUUGCAUGACAUUUGCUUAAAAGGUGCAAUUGCAUCACUACCAGAUGGACCUGCGUUGUAUUAGCUAGUUGGUGGGGUAACGGCUCACCAAGGCGACGAUACAUAGCCGACCUGAGAGGGUGAUCGGCCACACUGGGACUGAGACACGGCCCAGACUCCUACGGGAGGCAGCAGUAGGGAAUCUUCGGCAAUGGACGGAAGUCUGACCGAGCAACGCCGCGUGAGUGAAGAAGGUUUUCGGAUCGUAAAGCUCUGUUGUAAGAGAAGAACGAGUGUGAGAGUGGAAAGUUCACACUGUGACGGUAUCUUACCAGAAAGGGACGGCUAACUACGUGCCAGCAGCCGCGGUAAUACGUAGGUGGCAAGCGUUAUCCGGAUUUAUUGGGCGUAAAGAGAGUGCAGGCGGUUUUCUAAGUCUGAUGUGAAAGCCUUCGGCUUAACCGGAGAAGUGCAUCGGAAACUGGAUAACUUGAGUGCAGAAGAGGGUAGUGGAACUCCAUGUGUAGCGGUGGAAUGCGUAGAUAUAUGGAAGAACACCAGUGGCGAAGGCGGCUACCUGGUCUGCAACUGACGCUGAGACUCGAAAGCAUGGGUAGCGAACAGG